AGUUNNAAUUUGUANAGGAUGCUUUUGGUGAGGUGCCGCCCGAGUUCCCUGGAACGGGACGCCACAGAGGGGGAGAGCCCCGUCUGGCUGGCCACCGAGCCUCUGUAAAGCUCCUUCGACGAGUCGAGUAGUUUGGGAAUGCUGCUCAAAAUGGGAGGUAUAUGUCUUCUAAAGCUAAAUAUUGGCCAGAGACCGAUAGCGCACAAGUAGAGUGAUCGAAAGAUGAAAAGCACCUUGAAAAGAGGGUUAAAUAGUACGUGAAAUUGUUGAAAGGGAAGCGCUUGGGACCAGACUUGGGCGCGGCGGAUCAUCCGGGGUUCUCUCCGGGGCACUUCCCCGCGUCUAGGCCAGCAUCAGUUCGUCGCGGGGGGAAAAGGUUUCGGGAACGUGGCUCCUCCCGGAGUGUUAUACCCCGUGGCAUAAAACCCUGCGGUGGACUGANGACCCCGCAUCUGCAAGGAUGCUGGGGUAAUGGGCACCACCGACACCCCUUGAAAAACGG
RNAcentral lists this ribosomal RNA (502 nucleotides) under soil fungal sp. DM084. RNAcentral's name for it is "eukaryotic LSU rRNA". It matches the Rfam family "Eukaryotic large subunit ribosomal RNA", at positions 141 to 664 of the family's 3401-position model. Lineage: Eukaryota; Fungi. The record is from RNAcentral.